GGGUGAUCUGGCUGCGACAUCUGUCACCCCAUUGAUCCUCAGGGUUGAUUUGGCUGAUCUGGCUGGUUAGGCUCCAUGUGCGUCCCUCCUGAAGCUACAUGAUCUGUUGAAGAAGACAACCUCUGAAUAGAGACAGACUGGUCUUCGGUCGAGGGUAUACAAGUAGCUAUGCUUCCCUGCUAGAACCUUCAAACAAACUCUAAAAAGGUUAAUUUCACACAAGACAGAGAGAGGGUGAGAAUCAGAGCACACUCUGGUAUAUGCGGUAUUGGGGAUUG
RNAcentral lists this small nuclear RNA (278 nucleotides) under Erinaceus europaeus (western European hedgehog). Its description in RNAcentral is "7SK RNA". It matches the Rfam family "7SK RNA". From Rfam's summary of the family: 7SK was discovered as an abundant small nuclear RNA in the mid-70s but a possible function has only recently been suggested. Lineage: Eukaryota; Metazoa; Chordata; Mammalia; Eulipotyphla; Erinaceidae. The record is from Rfam by way of RNAcentral.